This 711-nucleotide ribosomal RNA is filed under the name Capnocytophaga sputigena. Its description in RNAcentral is "bacterial SSU rRNA". It matches the Rfam family "Bacterial small subunit ribosomal RNA", at positions 78 to 788 of the family's 1533-position model. Lineage: Bacteria; Pseudomonadati; Bacteroidota; Flavobacteriia; Flavobacteriales; Flavobacteriaceae. The record is from RNAcentral.
CUUCGGGUAACCAAAACCGGCGCACGGGUGCGUAACGCGUAUACAAUCUGCCUUUCACAUAGGGAUAGCCCGAAGAAAUUUGGAUUAAUACCUAAUGGUAUAUAAGAGCGGCAUCGUUUUUAUAUUAAAGCUACGGUGGUGAAAGAUGAGUAUGCGUUCUAUUAGCUAGUUGGAGAGGUAACGGCUCCCCAAGGCGACGAUAGAUAGGGGUUCUGAGAGGGAUGUCCCCCACACUGGUACUGAGAUACGGACCAGACUCCUACGGGAGGCAGCAGUGAGGAAUAUUGGACAAUGGUCGGAAGACUGAUCCAGCCAUGCCGCGUGCAGGAUGAAGGUCCUAUGGAUUGUAAACUGCUUUUGUAAGGGAAGAAUAAGGAGUACGUGUACUUUGAUGACGGUACCUUACGAAUAAGCAUCGGCUAACUCCGUGCCAGCAGCCGCGGUAAUACGGAGGAUGCGAGCGUUAUCCGGAAUCAUUGGGUUUAAAGGGUCCGUAGGCGGGCUGAUAAGUCAGAGGUGAAAGCGCUUAGCUCAACUAAGCAACUGCCUUUGAAACUGUCAGUCUUGAAUGAUUGUGAAGUAGUUGGAAUGUGUAGUGUAGCGGUGAAAUGCUUAGAUAUUACACAGAACACCGAUAGCGAAGGCAUAUUACUAACAAUUUAUUGACGCUGAUGGACGAAAGCGUGGGGAGCGAACAGGAUUAGAUACCCU